This 497-nucleotide ribosomal RNA is filed under the name uncultured bacterium. Its description in RNAcentral is "partial 16S ribosomal RNA". It matches the Rfam family "Bacterial small subunit ribosomal RNA", at positions 28 to 507 of the family's 1533-position model. The record is from RNAcentral.
GAUGAACGCUGGCGGCGUGCCUAAUACAUGCAAGUCGAGCGAACGGACGAGAAGCUUGCUUCUCUGAUGUUAGCGGCGGACGGGUGAGUAACACGUGGAUAACCUACCUAUAAGACUGGGAUAACUUCGGGAAACCGUAGCUAAUACCGGAUAAUAUUUUGAACCGCAUGGUUCAAAAGUGAAAGACGGUCUUGCGGUCACUUAUAGAUGGAUCCGCGCUGCAUUAGCUAGUUGGUAAGGUAACGGCUUACCAAGGCAACGAUGCAUAGCCGACCUGAGAGAGUGAUCGGCCACACUGGAACUGAGACACGGUCCAGACUCCUACGGGAGGCAGCAGUAGGGAAUCUUACGCAAUGGGCGAAAGCCUGACGGAGCAACGCCGCGUGAGUGAUGAAGGUCUUCGGAUCGUAAAACUCUGUUAUUAGGGAAGAACAUAUGUGUAAGUAACUGUGCACAUCUUGACGGUACCUAAUCAGAAAGCCACGGCUAACUACGUG